UGGUACCGUCGGCACCCUUAAAAAAGGUGGUUUCUUCCCANAUAAAAGAAGUUUACAACGCANAACGCCUUCAUCCUUCACGCGGCAUGGCUGGUUCAGACUUGCGUCCAUUGACCAAUAUUCCUCACUGCUGCCUCCCGUA
Molecule: ribosomal RNA, 142 nt
Filed under: uncultured bacterium
Lineage: Bacteria
Description: partial 16S ribosomal RNA
Source: RNAcentral